This is a long non-coding RNA of Rhopalosiphum maidis (corn leaf aphid), 559 nucleotides long. RefSeq lists it as uncharacterized. The record is from RefSeq and is a predicted model, not a curated record. Lineage: Eukaryota; Metazoa; Arthropoda; Insecta; Hemiptera; Aphididae. The transcript is spliced from 3 exons.
AUGAUAAAAAUAACAAGCAAAAAAAUAACAUUAUAAUGUAUUCGGUGGAGGCGCAAGGACAUGUCCGUGGGCGUGCGUACAACCUCGGCUGCCAAAAGCGCUCGGAGUUAGCGCGGGAAACAGCUGACUAGCGGGGGAAUCGUAUUCCAAACAUAGCUAAAUACACCAUGUCACCAUACUUGAACUCAUGGAUCCAUACGAGAAUAUUUCAGACAUCGUUUACGUGCAUACGCAGGACGGAAGAUUAACUAGCAUUUUGUUUGGACAUAGUGAUCUACUUAAUGACGAGGUACAUUUGAAAACUUACUAAACCGCAGAAGUGAUUUCUCCGGUUUUUUAACAUUUUGAAACUAGCUAACUGAUGAUGCUAAAAUUAAAUUUAAAGUAUAUAGAUUGCAAUGGUUGCAUAAAUUGCUUUAUUAUUUACGAAACAGAUCAAUAUGUUAAGAGGACACCAUACCCGCAGGUCUUGUCUUCGUCUUACAAGUACGUAUAACAUAACAAAUGUACGCUCAGGAGAUCACGUUUAACUCUGUUAGUUUAAAAAUUAGAGUUAAUC